Molecule: ribosomal RNA, 402 nt
Filed under: uncultured bacterium
Lineage: Bacteria
Description: bacterial SSU rRNA
Rfam family: Bacterial small subunit ribosomal RNA
Source: RNAcentral
CUAGGAAUCUUGGGAAUGGGCGAAAGCCUGACCCAGCAACGCCGCGUGGGCGAUGAAGGCCUUCGGGUCGUAAAGCCCUUUUGCAGGGGAAGAUGAUGACGGUACCCUGCGAAUAAGCCACGGCUAACUACGUGCCAGCAGCCGCGGUAAUACGUAGGUGGCGAGCGUUGUCCGGAUUUACUGGGCGUAAAGGGCGUGCAGGCGGCCCGUUAAGUGCAUGGUGAAAGCUCCCGGCUCAACUGGGAGAGGUCUGUGUAUACUGGCGGGCUUGAGGGGGGUAGAGGAAAGUGGAAUUCCCGGUGUAGUGGUGAUAUGCGUAGAUAUCGGGAGGAACACCUGUGGCGAAGGCGGCUUUCUGGGCCCUACCUGACGCUGAGACGCGAAAGCGUGGGGAGCGAACCG